AAAAAAUUAGUUAAACUAUAACAUUAGGUUGUCAAUCUAAAAUUAUUUAUUAAUAAAUAUUUUUUA
RNAcentral lists this transfer RNA (66 nucleotides) under Elodes minuta. RNAcentral describes it as "tRNA-Asp". Lineage: Eukaryota; Metazoa; Arthropoda; Insecta; Coleoptera; Scirtidae. The record is from RNAcentral.